UACGGAGGGUGCAAGCGUUAUCCGGAUUCACUGGGUUUAAAGGGUGCGUAGGCGGACAUUUAAGUCAGUGGUGAAAUACCUGAGCUUAACUUGGGAACUGCCAUUGAUACUAUUUGUCUUGAAUGUCGUGGAGGUUAGCGGAAUAUGUCAUGUAGCGGUGAAAUGCUUAGAUAUGACAUAGAACACCUAUUGCGAAGGCAGCUAACUACGCGAAUAUUGACGCUGAGGCACGAAAGCGUGGGGAUCAAACAGG
This 253-nucleotide ribosomal RNA is filed under the name uncultured bacterium. Its description in RNAcentral is "partial 16S ribosomal RNA". It matches the Rfam family "Bacterial small subunit ribosomal RNA", at positions 524 to 776 of the family's 1533-position model. The record is from RNAcentral.